UCCUUAUCAACCGGUUCCACGCUGUGAUCUAUAGUUCCAGCUGGUAAGACAGCUUCACACUUAGAGAUGUCAAAACCAAAGUCAUAGUCCUUAGGAACAUUCUCAGGUCUAACUGCAGUUGCAUUCAACAUUUCACACAAUCCAUACUCAACAGCGACCUGAAAAAUGAGAAAUAACAGGUUCAACUACAAUAUCAGAAGGACAAAAAUAUGUAUCAGGAACUAAGUGCUUUUUAUUUCUCACGAUCCAGAUACUACACAAGAGUUGAGAAAUUGAUAGACUGGUUGACGGUACUUUACUUUGCCAUGCUCACAGCAGCCUUCUCCCUACUUUGGAUACCAAAACGUAAUUGAGUAACUUGUGACUGUAACCUGGCAGAUUUGCAGUGUGCAAACACAGCUAAACGGCCCAAGGCUCCACACAACUGCAUGGCUUCACAGAGUUUUUCCAUGUUUGGUAGUAUCUUGACCAUUUAAUGACUUCUAAAGUAUUAUGGUAUCUGUUUAAAGACCCUUUCACUUCCUUCUUAAAGAACUGCUUAACUUAUGAUUUAGCAUUUGUGUUCUUGUAAUCUUUCUCGGUCAUUUCAGUAUUCAAUUCCUAAUUCUCCAACCUCUGAAGAUUCAGUAAUUCUUUUUUUCCUUCAAAACAAAAGAGUUACCCAUAAUCUCAUUGGCUUCUAAUGGAUGACCCAACAAAUGGAUUACAAUGGUGAGGCUGACUUUCUUGCUUUUGGAGACACAACGAAAAAUGAUUUUUUGCAUAUAUGCUUCCUGAUUUUCUCCGGUUCAACCAAAACAGCACCACACAAAAAAAAAAAUCUUCAUCAAAGAAAAAACAUAUCAUUUCUGUCGUAGGAAAACAGCCCAUAUCUAUAAAAGUAAUAAAAAAAUUAUUCUAGAGAUUUCCCCAUGCAACCCCAUUAAUAAGAUUAUUGCAAAUAACCAUGCAACCAAAAUAUUUCAACGAGAGAAUCUAUCUAUAGAAACAAGAUGUACACAAUAAGUACGUAUCUGUGAUGAGGGACCUUGAUUUUGGAGGGGUCGAUGGUGAUGCCGUUGGAGGAAGUGACGGUGAGAUCGUCAUCGUUGACGGCGCAGAGGCCGUGGACAACUUCGGUGGCGGUCUGGAGACACCGGAGAAAUGGAGAAACGAAG
RNAcentral lists this long non-coding RNA (1157 nucleotides) under Coffea arabica (coffee). RNAcentral's name for it is "long non-coding RNA (CARA_LNC001670)". The record is from RNAcentral. Lineage: Eukaryota; Viridiplantae; Streptophyta; Magnoliopsida; Gentianales; Rubiaceae.